Oncorhynchus masou masou (cherry salmon) is the source of this 278-nucleotide long non-coding RNA. RefSeq lists it as uncharacterized. Lineage: Eukaryota; Metazoa; Chordata; Actinopteri; Salmoniformes; Salmonidae. The record is from RefSeq and is a predicted model, not a curated record. The transcript has 3 exons.
AGACAUGAGGACACCAGCAGCGUCCUGAGAGACAGAGACACACUUCAUGGAAGGAACAAGAGGCCCUCUGAUCAGCAACACUUCCUUAAGAUGCACCUCCCCAGGAUCAUGAAGAGAACCCAGUCACCCCACAGAGAGACCGUUUCCCCUGUCCUCUCAUACUACUCAGAGCCAGCCUACCUGCAGCACCGUAAGGAUGUGACUAGAGAUCUGGCCUCGCUGCCUGGUGCAACGAGAAGAGGAGCCCUGGAUGAGGAAGACCAGGAAGAGACGCUGAG